RNAcentral lists this ribosomal RNA (590 nucleotides) under uncultured Stenotrophomonas bacterium. Its description in RNAcentral is "bacterial SSU rRNA". It matches the Rfam family "Bacterial small subunit ribosomal RNA", at positions 335 to 916 of the family's 1533-position model. The record is from RNAcentral. Lineage: Bacteria; Pseudomonadati; Pseudomonadota; Gammaproteobacteria; Lysobacterales; Lysobacteraceae.
ACUCCUACGGGAGGCAGCAGUGGGGAAUAUUGGACAAUGGGCGCAAGCCUGAUCCAGCCMUACCGCGUGGGUGAAGAAGGCCUUCGGGUUGUAAAGCCCUUUUGUUGGGAAAGAAAUCCAGCUGGUUAAUACCCGGUUGGGAUGACGGUACCCAAAGAAUAAGCACCGGCUAACUUCGUGCCAGCAGCCGCGGUAAUACGAAGGGUGCAAGCGUUACUCGGAAUUACUGGGCGUAAAGCGUGCGUAGGUGGUUGUUUAAGUCUGUUGUGAAAGCCCUGGGCUCAACCUGGGAACUGCAGUGGAAACUGGACGACUAGAGUGUGGUAGAGGGUAGCGGAAUUCCUGGUGUARCARUGAAAUGCGUASAGAUCAGGAGGAACAUCSAUGGCGAAGGCAGCUACCUGGACCAACACUGACACUGAGGCACGAAAGCGUGGGGAGCAAACAGGAUUAGAUACCCUGGUAGUCCACGCCCUAAACGAUGCGAACUGGAUGUUGGGUGCAAUUUGGCACGCAGUAUCGAAGCUAACGCGUUAAGUUCGCCGCCUGGGGAGUACGGUCGCAAGACUGARACUCAAAGGAAUUGACGG